RNAcentral lists this ribosomal RNA (520 nucleotides) under uncultured Glomus. RNAcentral describes it as "SSU rRNA". It matches the Rfam family "Eukaryotic small subunit ribosomal RNA", at positions 569 to 1089 of the family's 1831-position model. Lineage: Eukaryota; Fungi; Glomeromycota; Glomeromycetes; Glomerales; Glomeraceae. The record is from RNAcentral.
AGCAGCCGCGGUAAUUCCAGCUCCAAUAGCGUAUAUUAAAGUUGUUGCAGUUAAAAAGCUCGUAGUUGAAUUUCGGGAUCAAUAUAUCGGUCGUGCCAUUGGUACGUACUGGUACCAUUGGUUUCUCCUUUCUGACGAACCAUGAUGUCAUUAAUUUGGUGUUAUGGGAAGUUAGGACUGUUACUUUGAAAAAAUUAGAGUGUUUAAAGCAGGCUUUAGCUUGAAUACAUUAGCAUGGAAUAAUGAAAUAGGACGUUCGAACCUAUUUUGUUGGUUUCUAGGAUCAACGUAAUGAUUAAUAGGGAUAGUUGGGGGGCAUUAGUAUUCAAUUGUCAGAGGUGAAAUUCUUGGAUUAUUGGAAGACUAACUACUGCGAAAGCAUUUGCCAAGGAUGUUUUCAUUAAUCAAGAACGAAAGUUAGGGGAUCGAAGACGAUCAGAUACCGUCGUAGUCUUAACCAUAAACUAUGCCGACUAGGGAUCGGAUGAUGUUAAUUUUUUAAUGACUCAUUCGGCGCCUU